GUGAUGGCUGCUCUCUAACAGCUCUCGCGUCACGUGGUCAAACGCUCCCAGCUGCUAGACCAGAUUAGGACCUCCCCACAGAGCGGCUGCAGCUACAGCAAAGAUGGCUUCGUGUUGCGUUACAAUAAGGAAAGGGCAUCGGCUGGGAAAGGUGAAACACUGCGGGACGCGAGGAUGUGGAUGGGACAGGAUGUGUGGUGCAGUAUAAGCAUCCCCUCUGCUCAGGUCGCUGCUCAUUUGUCAAGUUGCCUGCAGACUUGAAUGGUGCAUUGCUGCUAAAACACAGAGAGGCAA
Long non-coding RNA from Oreochromis niloticus (Nile tilapia), 294 nucleotides. RefSeq lists it as uncharacterized. The transcript is spliced from 2 exons. Lineage: Eukaryota; Metazoa; Chordata; Actinopteri; Cichliformes; Cichlidae. The record is from RefSeq and is a predicted model, not a curated record.